GAUGAACGCUAGCGGCAGGCUUAACACAUGCAAGUCGAGGGGUAUUGGUUUUCGGACCAAGAGACCGGCGCACGGGUGCGUAACGCGUAUGCAAUCUACCUUUUGCAGAGGGAUAGCCCAGAGAAAUUUGGAUUAAUACCUCAUAGUAUAGUACUUUGGCAUCAGGGAACUAUUAAAGUCACAACGGCAAAAGAUGAGCAUGCGUCCCAUUAGCUAGUUGGUAAGGUAACGGCUUACCAAGGCUACGAUGGGUAGGGGUCCUGAGAGGGAGAUCCCCCACACUGGUACUGAGACACGGACCAGACUCCUACGGGAGGCAGCAGUGAGGAAUAUUGGACAAUGGGCGCAAGCCUGAUCCAGCCAUGCCGCGUGCAGGAUGACGGUCCUAUGGAUUGUAAACUGCUUUUAUACAGGAAGAAACACUCCGACGUGUCGGAGCUUGACGGUACUGUAAGAAUAAGGAUCGGCUAACUCCGUGCCAGCAGCCGCGGUAAG
RNAcentral lists this ribosomal RNA (495 nucleotides) under uncultured bacterium. RNAcentral describes it as "bacterial SSU rRNA". It matches the Rfam family "Bacterial small subunit ribosomal RNA", at positions 28 to 524 of the family's 1533-position model. The record is from RNAcentral.